Molecule: long non-coding RNA, 511 nt
Organism: Neopelma chrysocephalum (saffron-crested tyrant-manakin)
Lineage: Eukaryota; Metazoa; Chordata; Aves; Passeriformes; Pipridae
Exons: 2
Source: RefSeq, a predicted model, not a curated record
CUUUCUGGAAGAAUUAACGCUGUUGUAAAAGCACCCCUCUGCAAUAGUGGGCACAAUUCCGAUUCCGAUUGUUGAAAUGAGACAAUGGAGGACUGCUAAGGUGGCUGAGGAAAUAGGGCACCUGCCUGUCAGGAAGAGGCUGAAGAGAUUGGGAUAUGAGCUGUCUGUAAAUACUUGAGGAGUUAACACCAGUGAGAGGAAAAAACUCCUUAGUUUGAAGGAUGAAGCUGUGAAGAAACUUUCACUAGUUUUCAGAAACAGCCAUGAGCAACAAAGGAUCUUCUAAGUGCUUUACCCUAAAUUUGGUAAAGGAACCUCAAAACUUGGAGAGUACUUCCUUCAUGGAUUUCCACAGAAAAAAAGGCACCAGGUCAGCACGGGCUUGCUCAGGCCAUUAUGCAGACCUUGCAAAUUAGCUGCUCAAAACUGCAGACACACCCUGACCUUCUGUUUUGCUGGCUAGAGAUCAGGACAACCUUCACAGCUAUAUAAUAUAAUACUGUUGAACUUU